Molecule: non-coding RNA, 81 nt
Organism: Oscillibacter valericigenes Sjm18-20
Lineage: Bacteria; Bacillati; Bacillota; Clostridia; Eubacteriales; Oscillospiraceae
Source: Rfam
ACAAUGAUACUUCCGCCCAGCCACAGUUUCAUGCAAUGUGGGCGGCUCGGAGAGAUCCUCGGAGGGGUUGGAUUCCCAUGA